Molecule: ribosomal RNA, 670 nt
Filed under: Escherichia coli
Lineage: Bacteria; Pseudomonadati; Pseudomonadota; Gammaproteobacteria; Enterobacterales; Enterobacteriaceae
Description: partial 23S ribosomal RNA
Rfam family: Bacterial large subunit ribosomal RNA
Source: RNAcentral
GUGGGUAGUUUGACUGGGGCGGUCUCCUCCUAAAGAGUAACGGAGGAGCACGAAGGUUGGCUAAUCCUGGUCGGACAUCAGGAGGUUAGUGCAAUGGCAUAAGCCAGCUUGACUGCGAGCGUGACGGCGCGAGCAGGUGCGAAAGCAGGUCAUAGUGAUCCGGUGGUUCUGAAUGGAAGGGCCAUCGCUCAACGGAUAAAAGGUACUCCGGGGAUAACAGGCUGAUACCGCCCAAGAGUUCAUAUCGACGGCGGUGUUUGGCACCUCGAUGUCGGCUCAUCACAUCCUGGGGCUGAAGUAGGUCCCAAGGGUAUGGCUGUUCGCCAUUUAAAGUGGUACGCGAGCUGGGUUUAGAACGUCGUGAGACAGUUCGGUCCCUAUCUGCCGUGGGCGCUGGAGAACUGAGGGGGGCUGCUCCUAGUACGAGAGGACCGGAGUGGACGCAUCACUGGUGUUCGGGUUGUCAUGCCAAUGGCACUGCCCGGUAGCUAAAUGCGGAAGAGAUAAGUGCUGAAAGCAUCUAAGCACGAAACUUGCCCCGAGAUGAGUUCUCCCUGACUCCUUGAGGGUCCUGAAGGAACGUUGAAGACGACGACGUUGAUAGGCCGGGUGUGUAAGCGCAGCGAUGCGUUGAGCUAACCGGUACUAAUGAACCGUGAGGCUUAACCUU